GAAUAGAAACAGAUGCCAGGCCAAAAACCCAAA
Molecule: ribosomal RNA, 33 nt
Filed under: Plasmodium vivax (malaria parasite P. vivax)
Lineage: Eukaryota; Apicomplexa; Aconoidasida; Haemosporida; Plasmodiidae
Description: rRNA PVP01_MIT01800
Source: RNAcentral